This is a small nuclear RNA of Cynoglossus semilaevis (tongue sole), 104 nucleotides long. The record is from Ensembl. NCBI's taxonomy places the organism in Eukaryota, Metazoa, Chordata, Actinopteri, Pleuronectiformes, Cynoglossidae.
GUGUUGCUGUGGCGAUGCAAGUACAAAAAUCUGAACGAUACAUAGAUGAUUAUCAUGCCUGUGCAAGGAUGACACACAAAUUUCGUGAAGCAUUCCUCAUUUUA